AGCAUGGUCUUAGCUUGCUAAGACUGAUGGCGACCGGCGCACGGGUGAGUAACACGUAUCCAACCUGCCGUCUACUCUUGGACAGCCUUCUGAAAGGAGGAUUAAUACAAGAUGGCAUCAUGAGUCCGCAUGUUCACAUGAUUAAAGGUAUUCCGGUAGACGAUGGGGAUGCGUUCCAUUAGAUAGUAGGCGGGGUAACGGCCCACCUAGUCUUCGAUGGAUAGGGGUUCUGAGAGGAAGGUCCCCCACAUUGGAACUGAGACACGGUCCAAACUCCUACGGGAGGCAGCAGUGAGGAAUAUUGGUCAAUGGGCGAGAGCCUGAACCAGCCAAGUAGCGUGAAGGAUGACUGCCCUAUGGGUUGUAAACUUCUUUUAUAAAGGAAUAAAGUCGGGUAUGUAUACCCGUUUGCAUGUACUUUAUGAAUAAGGAUCGGCUAACUCCGUGCCAGCAGCCGCGGUAAUACGGAGGAUCCGAGCGUUAUCCGGAUUUAUUGGGCUUAAAGGGAGCGUAGAUGGAUGUUUAAGUCAGUUGUGAAAGUUUGCGGCUCAACCGUAAAAUUGCAGUUGAUACUGGAUAUCUUGAGUGCAGUUGAGGCA
Molecule: ribosomal RNA, 599 nt
Filed under: uncultured Bacteroidales bacterium
Lineage: Bacteria; Pseudomonadati; Bacteroidota; Bacteroidia; Bacteroidales
Description: bacterial SSU rRNA
Rfam family: Bacterial small subunit ribosomal RNA
Source: RNAcentral